Molecule: unclassified non-coding RNA, 343 nt
Filed under: soil metagenome
Description: partial contains 5.8S ribosomal RNA, internal transcribed spacer 2, and large subunit ribosomal RNA
Rfam family: 5.8S ribosomal RNA (bases 1-120)
Source: RNAcentral
GAUGAAGAACGCAGCGAAAUGCGAUAAGUAAUGUGAAUUGCAGAAUUCAGUGAAUCAUCGAAUCUUUGAACGCACAUUGCGCCCGCUAGUAUUCUGGCGGGUAUGCCUGUCCGAGCGUCAUUUCAACCCUCAAGCCCCCGGGCUUGGUGUUGGGGAUCGGCGAGCCUCCGCGCCCGCCGUCCCCUAAAUCUAGUGGCGGUCUCGCUGUAGCUUCCUCUGCGUAGUAGCACACCUCGCACUGGGAAACAGCGCGGCCACGCCGUUAAACCCCCAACUUCUGAACGUUUGACCUCGGAUCAGGUAGGAAUACCCGCUGAACUUAAGCAUAUCAAUAAGCGGAGGA